Molecule: ribosomal RNA, 799 nt
Filed under: uncultured bacterium
Lineage: Bacteria
Description: bacterial SSU rRNA
Rfam family: Bacterial small subunit ribosomal RNA
Source: RNAcentral
AGAGUUUGAUCCUGGCUCAGAUUGAACGCUGGCGGCAUGCCUAACACAUGCAAGUCGAACGGCAGCACAGUCGUAGCAAUACGAUGGGUGGCGAGUGGCGGACGGGUGAGGAAUACAUCGGGACCUGCCCAGACGUGGGGGAUAACGUAGGGAAACUUACGCUAAUACCGCAUACGUCCUACGGGAGAAAGCGGGGGAUCUUCGGACCUCGCGCGGUUGGAUGGACCGAUGUUCGAUUAGCUAGUUGGUGGGGUAAAGGCCUACCAAGGCGACGAUCGAUAGCUGGUCUGAGAGGAUGAUCAGCCACACUGGGACUGAGACACGGCCCAGACUCCUACGGGAGGCAGCAGUGGGGAAUAUUGGACAAUGGGCGCAAGCCUGAUCCAGCAAUGCCGCGUGUGUGAAGAAGGCCUUCGGGUUGUAAAGCACUUUUAUCAGGAGCGAAAUACCAUCGGCUAAUACCCGGUGGGGCUGACGGUACCUGAGGAAUAAGCACCGGCUAACUUCGUGCCAGCAGCCGCGGUAAUACGAAGGGUGCAAGCGUUAAUCGGAAUUACUGGGCGUAGAGCGUGCGUAGGCGGUUUUUUAAGUCUGCUGUGAAAUCCCCGGGCUCAACCUGGGAAUGGCAGUGGAUACUGGAAAGCUAGAGUGUGAUAGAGGAUGGUGGAAUUCCCGGUGUAGCGGUGAAAUGCGUAGAGAUCGGGAGGAACAUCAGUGGCGAAGGCGGCCAUCUGGAUCAACACUGACGCUGAGGCACGAAAGCGUGGGGAGCAAACAGGAUUAGAUACCCNNGUAGUCC